RNAcentral lists this ribosomal RNA (520 nucleotides) under uncultured bacterium. RNAcentral's name for it is "bacterial SSU rRNA". It matches the Rfam family "Bacterial small subunit ribosomal RNA", at positions 355 to 896 of the family's 1533-position model. The record is from RNAcentral.
UAGGGAAUAUUGCACAAUGGGCGAAAGCCUGAUGCAGCAACGCCGCGUGCGCGAUGAAGGCCUUCGGGUUGUAAAGCGCUUUUCGGGGGGAUGAGGAAGGACAGUACCCCCGGAAUAAGUCUCGGCUAACUACGUGCCAGCAGCCGCGGUAACACGUAGGAGACUAGCGUUAUCCGGAUUUACUGGGCGUAAAGCGCGUGUAGGCGGUUUGGUAAGUCGGGCGUGAAAUCUCCUGGCUCAACUGGGAGGGGCCGUCCGAAACUACCAGACUGGAGGGCAGAAGAGGGAGGUGGAAUUCCGGGUGUAGUGGUGAAAUGCGUAGAUAUCCGGAGGAACACCAGUGGCGAAGGUGGCUUUCUGGACUGCUCCUGACGCUGAGAUUCGAAAGCCAGGGGAGCAAACAGGAUUAGAUACCCUGGUAGUCCUGGCUGUAAACGAUGGAUACCAGAUCUUGCGUGACAGCGCUUGGUCGUAGCUAACGCGUUAAGUAUCCCGCCUGGGGAGUACGGUCGCAAGGCUG